UACGUAGGGGGCUAGCGUUGUCCGGAAUCAUUGGGCGUAAAGAGCGUGUAGGCGGUCCGGUAAGUCCGCUGUGAAAGUCGGGGGCUCAACCCUCGAAUGCCGGUGGAUACUGUCGGGCUAGAGUGCGGAAGAGGCGAGUGGAAUUCCUGGUGUAGCGGUGAAAUGCGCAGAUAUCAGGAGGAACACCGGUGGCGAAGGCGGCAUCCUGGACCGGCAUUGACGCUGAGGCGCGAAAGCCAGGGGAGCAAACGGG
Molecule: ribosomal RNA, 253 nt
Filed under: uncultured bacterium
Lineage: Bacteria
Description: partial 16S ribosomal RNA
Rfam family: Bacterial small subunit ribosomal RNA
Source: RNAcentral